This 479-nucleotide ribosomal RNA is filed under the name uncultured bacterium. RNAcentral describes it as "bacterial SSU rRNA". It matches the Rfam family "Bacterial small subunit ribosomal RNA", at positions 15 to 507 of the family's 1533-position model. The record is from RNAcentral.
GAUCAGUGGCUCAGGACACGCUGGCGGCGUGCCUAACACAUGCAAGUCGAACGGGGGUGAGAUCCUUCGGGGGUUUCACUUAGUGGCGAACGGGUGAGUAACGCGUGAGAAACCUGCCUUUCAGUGGGGGACAACAGUUGGAAACGACUGCUAAUACCGCAUAACGUAUUUUAGGGGCAUCCCUGAAAUACCAAAGCUUUAUGUGCUGAAAGAUGGUCUCGCGUCUGAUUAGCUAGAUGGCGGGGUAACGGCCCACCAUGGCGACGAUCAGUAGCCGGUCUGAGAGGAUGAACGGCCACAUUGGGACUGAGAUACGGCCCAGACUCCUACGGGAGGCAGCAGUGGGGAAUAUUGGGCAAUGGGGGAAACCCUGACCCAGCAACGCCGCGUGAAGGAAGAAGGCCUUCGGGUUGUAAACUUCUUUUAGUAGGGACGAAUACGUGACGGUACCUACAGAAAAAGCAACGGCUAACUACGUG